GUUUAUAGAAUAAUCAAGUAGGCAUUGAAAUCAAUGCAAAUUACAACGAGUAAUCAUUUCCAGCUGUCUAAACAGAAGCCCCAUUUGGCGUCCACAGUAGAGUCCUAAAUGUGAGUAGUUGAUGCUACAUUGUAUAAUCUCAUAUUAUCCUUUUUUAUUAGCCUAAGAUCAUGUCUUGCUGCAAACGUUUCUGUCGAGUCUGUCGUCGUUGGUACUGCUGCAGUGGAAGCCCGACCUGCUGUUGUGGUGCCUAUCGUGGUCCCUGCUCUGGACCGUGCGGUGGCCCCUGUCAUGGUGACAGCUGUGGACCCUGCUGCGGCAACUGUUCCUGCUCCUGUGUGAUGUGCUCUAGUGGCAUCGGAACAUGCGGUCAGCCCCGUGGCAGAUCCUGCUUGCCCCGAAGGUGCUGAACUUGAUGGAUUAGUGGCGUUUGGAUUUUACUGUGUGUGAUAAUUGGGAUACUACAAAAUUGUGUUGUAUGUGAAAUGAAUACAUGUUUC
RNAcentral lists this long non-coding RNA (500 nucleotides) under Drosophila guanche. The record is from RNAcentral. Lineage: Eukaryota; Metazoa; Arthropoda; Insecta; Diptera; Drosophilidae.